GUGGGGAAUUUUGGACAAUGGGCGCAAGCCUGAUCCAGCAAUGCCGCGUGCAGGAAGAAGGCCUUCGGGUUGUAAACUGCUUUUGUACGGAACGAAAAGGCUCUGGUUAAUACCUGGGGCUCAUGACGGUACCGUAAGAAUAAGCACCGGCUAACUACGUGCCAGCAGCCGCGGUAAUACGUAGGGUGCAAGCGUUAAUCGGAAUUACUGGGCGUAAAGCGUGCGCAGGCGGUUUUGUAAGACAGACGUGAAAUCCCCGGGCUCAACCUGGGAAUUGCGCUUGUGACUGCAGCGCUGGAGUGCGGCAGAGGGGGAUGGAAUUCCGCGUGUAGCAGUGAAAUGCGUAGAUAUGCGGAGGAACACCGAUGGCGAAGGCAAUCCCCUGGGCCUGCACUGACGCUCAUGCACGAAAGCGUGGGGAGCAAAUAGGAUUAGAAACCCUUGUAGUCC
This 450-nucleotide ribosomal RNA is filed under the name uncultured bacterium. RNAcentral describes it as "partial 16S ribosomal RNA". It matches the Rfam family "Bacterial small subunit ribosomal RNA", at positions 354 to 796 of the family's 1533-position model. The record is from RNAcentral.